Molecule: long non-coding RNA, 798 nt
Organism: Alligator mississippiensis (American alligator)
Lineage: Eukaryota; Metazoa; Chordata; Crocodylia; Alligatoridae
Exons: 3
Source: RefSeq, a predicted model, not a curated record
CGUCACCAACCCUCUCUCUCCCCCACUGUGCAGUUAACUGCGUGUGAAGCAAAACACGCUGGUCCCGAGCCAGCUGUCGGUGACCGCGCUGGCAACCUGGGGGGAAGGCCAGACAGGAGCAGCGAGCAGCUGAGGGGCGGCAUGCGGGCAUCCCGCUUCUGUGACCACCCGGACAGACUAUGCCCUGGCACCCAGCUUCUAGCAUUUAGAGGCCUGGGAAGUCCUAAUGUGGAGUUGCAGCCUUGGUCUCUCGUUUCGCACCCACCGAUGGACCUGUCCUAUGUCAGCGCAUCUACUCCAUGCAGCUGCCAUGUGCUGGCUUCAAAGAGCAACACCCCUGUCCUUGGAGUUGUGCAGAGGGGUCAAGCACGGGGAACCACAGGGCUUGCGGCUGGAGCGUCACAUCGUGCUCCCGGCUUUUCCAGCUCCAGCUGUGACCUCCCCAAAGCCAGCGGCACAGAUCUUCAGAGACACGGGGACGAGUGGCAGAAGCCCCUUUAAUAUCCCUGAAUGGCAUUACAAGUAAUACUGCAGGUGGCCGGCUCUCAGUAGACUUGUCUGGCUGCGAUGUGUCCAAUACAAAACCUGGCAGAAAAAUCAAUCAUGCACAGAAAAUUAUUGCUGUAGGAGUUCCUAUUUACAAUAUAAACAUGGAGCAGGGCCCCAGGGCGCCCUUGCUGUCCCCAGGGCAAGCAGCAGGGAGAGCUGGCUAUGGGGCAGGGGGCGUCCAACUUCUGCCCCCAGAGGACGAUGAGUUUUGCUUAGGACAAGGGGGAUAGCACAGGGACAGGGCAGAGA